Molecule: ribosomal RNA, 412 nt
Filed under: uncultured bacterium
Lineage: Bacteria
Description: partial 16S ribosomal RNA
Source: RNAcentral
CGCAGCUGAUCCAGCCAUGCCGCGUGAAGGAUGAAGGUCCUUCGGAUUGUAANACCGCUUUCAGUAACGGAAACGAAGACAACCUUGAGCGUAUAUACUCACAAGGAAUCAANUGCAACCGGUAUCACGCUAAUGAUGUCACAGCCAACCGCGGCUGAGUCAUAUACUAUCACAGGCUAGCACAGGCCGGUUAGUUACCGGUAAUGGAUGCGAAGCCGUAAAAUACGGCUACAGUUAACGUGCGGGCGUGUACAGGCCGGUCGCAGUCAGUGCAGAGAAUUCUAUGAAGGAUCAAAAUCGUCGAAAACCUCGCAGGUGCCUACUAACCGUGAGCAGAAANCUAGCAUGUUGUGUGGAACUUGUGGAUAAGCUAGGAAGUUGCCGUGGAUAGUAGGGGAUGGGAAUUGCCGCC